AGUGAACGCUGGCGGUAGGCCUAACACAUGCGAGUCGAACGGCAGCACAGGAGAGCUUGCUCUCUGGGUGGCGAGUGGCGGACGGGUGAGGAAUACAUCGGAAUCUACUCUGUCGUGGGGGAUAACGUAGGGAAACUUACGCUAAUACCGCAUACGACCUACGGGUGAAAGCAGGGGACCUUCGGGCCUUGCGCGAUUGAAUGAGCCGAUGUCGGGUUAGCUAGUUGGCGGGGUAAAGGCCCACCAAGGCGACGAUCCGUAGCUGGUCUGCGAGGAUGAUCAGCCACACUGGAACUGAGACACGGUCCAGACUCCUACGGGAGGCAGCAGUGGGGAAUAUUGGACAAUGGGCGCAAGCCUGAUCCAGCCAUACCGCGUGGGUGAAGAAGGCCUUCGGGUUGUAAAGCCCUUUUGUUGGGAAAGGAAUCCAGCUGGCUAAUACCCGGUUGGGAUGACGGUACCCAAAGAAUAAGCACCGGCUAACUUCGUGCCAGCUGCCGCCGUAA
RNAcentral lists this ribosomal RNA (506 nucleotides) under uncultured bacterium. RNAcentral describes it as "partial 16S ribosomal RNA". It matches the Rfam family "Bacterial small subunit ribosomal RNA", at positions 29 to 523 of the family's 1533-position model. The record is from RNAcentral.